Molecule: long non-coding RNA, 240 nt
Organism: Odocoileus virginianus texanus
Lineage: Eukaryota; Metazoa; Chordata; Mammalia; Artiodactyla; Cervidae
Source: RefSeq, a predicted model, not a curated record
CCACCAGGGAAGCCUGAAUGAUGGUCUUGAGCUAAUACUAAUGUAUCAGUAUCGGUUCAUUAAUCAUGAUGAAUGCAGCACACUAAGAUAUGCAACUUAACACUUCCUGGGACCAGGAUUCUUUGCUGUGUAACACUGGGAAGGCUUUCAGUGGUGGAGAUGGAGAAAAGAGAGAAGGAAACAUCACAGCAUAAUCAGAACAGCUUUGAAGACAGAGAACUCAGAAAAAGGAAAGAAGGG